CGUAGGACAAAGACCUCAAAAGGAAUGAGUUUACUGAGGGGCUGCUCUUUAGAUGGUGAAACCACAGCACUGCACAAGUAGUUCUGCUGGUGAUCUCAUGUCUCUUUUCCCUUCUGGGUUUGCAACUGCCCUUUGAGGCUGGCAUCUCAUUGCUGGAAUUCAGUCUUUGCUGGAGACCUGCAGCCCCACUGCGAGAAGCACCGCUGUGCAGUACAGGGGUGACAAGGGAAGGCAGUGAGUUCUCUGUCUGGAAUUUCUGAGUAUAAAGGCAGAAGGAAAAGGGACUGCUGAUUUUUGCUUGUAAGCACAAUUGAUGUUUGACUUGAAAAAAAGUAUAACUUGGGUUAUUGUUCUGCCGCUGCACCCUCGGGUCAGAGCACUGCCAUAUAAGCAGUUGGUUCAGAGCAAGAGGGGAGGCAGAAACUUGGAGGGAAAGAAGCACAUGGGAGUGGAGCUGUCCCAGCAGGGUUCCCAAUGCUUUCUUUUCUCUCCAUCGUGAAGGCUUUUGUUUCCUUACUUGUGGCAAAUGCCAAAUCUACCGCUUGUGCUUUAAUGCCUGGUGAGAGGGGAGAGGUCUCCAGAGAAACCAUGAAAAUGGGGAAAGAUAAACUGGUGAUUAUUGAAAUGACAAAAUAUUGCAUUGGUGAAUGCUGAAUGGCUUAUAUGGAGAAGAGAGCGUUGCAGAAUGGAGGGAGCUCUUCUAUUGUUUGCACUUAGGAAAAAAAAAUAAAGGGAUAGUAAAUAUUCGCCUGCAUUGAUCACACAGUGAGUAGUUUGCUGUGCCAAAGCAGCCUGCAUCAGUGCUCAGGGUUAGUGCUUAUUGCAGGUGAACUGCCCAUGCAAAUGGUGGGUAGUUUGGAGGAGCACAGGUAGUUUUCAUCCUGUAUGGGCAGACACGAAGUUGGUUCUGGUGGGCUUUGUUGGCCCUCAAAGCAGAAAAGGAACAAAAUGGGACUGAGCAGUGGAUAAGGAUUUGAGGCUCAGUUCUUAUUUCUCCUGUAAAUACCCUGUAUCCCCUCAAUAAAACUGAUUUAUGGCUUUUAGCCAUGGUUCCUCACCUGUAAAAUUGGGAAAAAUACUUCCUUUGUGCCCCAUUUAUUUACAUGGUCAUCUCUUCCUAUCUAACACCGCGCUUGGUGCAGCGGGGCCUCGUUCCUUUCUCAGCACUCCAUGCGGAAUUUAUAUUGCAGCGAUCCUUGUAACUAUCAGCAAAAGAAAAUUACUGCAGACAGGCCUGAGGUCCCGGUGCUUCAGCUCUGCUCUGAUAGUGCUGCUGGCUGUGGUUUGGUGGCUGUCCCCUGCCCGUGGCUCUCAGCGUGUACCCACAGCUGUCAGUGUGAAUGACAGAUUAACAAAUGCACAGUGGCUUUGUUCCUCACUGUGCUGCCCCAGUGCCACGCUGGGUCUGCAGUGCAGAGGGAUGCAUGGCAUUGUCUCACCCACUAACACUCUGUCUGGUAACUGGCAAAAGCAAUGCUUUUCACCCGUUGCAAUGGGUGUGCUGUAGAAAAUGAAGACCGUAGGGAUGUGAGGGUCUUGUUUAAUUUGUUUUAUUUCUUAAUCCAAGAGUAAGAGAAUGCAAAACUUCCAAGCUGAAAGGCUUUGUGCUCUGCUUGCUCCAGGAGAUAUUAGUGAGGGAUCAGCUGGGUUCACCAGACUCCACAAGGUACCUUUGUUUAUGGAUGAGGCCGUGCAGUUGGGGAUCAGAGGUUGUGCAUAGCUGCUGUAGAGCACGCUGGGCUGCGAAAAGUCGGGCACCAGAGAUUAAUUUCUUGGUUUCUUAGAGCCAAGGUUUAAUAGCAGACCUGGGGAGGACAGUGAUUGAGCUCACAACCAGCAGAACUAUAGUUCAGGUCAAGUGAAAGGAAGGAGCUAAGGACUCAGCAUGCUGCUUGCAGGAGGAAUUCUAAUGGCUUCAUGGUAUGGGGUCUGCACAAGGCAUACAGGAGCUAGUGCCCGGGCUGCCCCAUGAAGCCUGCACAGCCCCGACCCCCUGCUCACUGCCCUGCUCACAGCUGGGCAUGGCAAGAAUAAAUCUGGAAGGGAACAAGAGAAAACAGAAAACGCUGGCAGUUUUUCAGUAGGGAGAAUGGUGUGUUUGAGCUGCAGUGGAGAGGGACAGCUUUUGGUUCUAACUUUUUGAGUUGCAUACUUCAACAAACAGUGUAAAUUUGGCAGGAUGAAGGCUGGGUGACCUAUUCUGGCUGGAUCGAGGACUGAUUCUGAAGCUGGGAUUUAACUCAGCUCUGACAUUUCAUGCUGCUAUUCCAUUCCACUUCAGUUUCAAAGUUUUCAGACUUUUUUUUUUUUUAAAGAUGUGCCCUUUAUGUAACUCAUUUAAUUGUGUCUAACUACACGGUGAUUUUUUUCCCCUCCCUACCUUCACAAAUGCGAUUGGAUAUACAUGUAGAUCUUAACUUAUAGCAUAUAUUACAGUAGGGGCAAGAGAAUCUGCCUUGAGCUUUCAUAUUUAUCCUGAAUAAGGCUGUACCAACUGGUUCUGCCUUAAAUUCUCUACCUCAAAGUCUCCUGGUGUUCUGUUUUCUCAGGAAGGAAACAGGUUGCACUGAACGCAAACUGCGCGGCAUGGAUUUACUGGUUAGACACAGAUGGGAUUCCUCUAUCAAAGUACUCUUGUGUUGUCUGCAUUCAUUACACUCACUAGAAAAGCUAUUGACAUGACAGCAUUCUCCUGUUAGGUUUUUUUCUGCUCUUUUAGAAGUGCCUGUUGGGUUGCAGUGGCCUGAAAAUGCAGUGACCAAGAUUAGAGGUUUGGACCUUGAGAGCCACAGGAGAGGAGCUUUCAAUGUCUCUGUAUUUGUUAUGAUCAAUUCAUAGUGACUUGAGUCUGCAAAUGAAGACGUUCUUAUGAAAUGUUUUUGAUUUUAUGCAUUUUGAUUCUGGUAUUAAGUAGUGUGAGAAAAGCAAAUCAGUCUUUUUGUUUGGCUGCUGGUUUAACGUCCAGUUCACAUUAGCAGGAUGCAAGGAAUCUGGAUGCUUGUUUGGAAGCCACUUAUGAGAUGUUCGAUUUCCUUCUAUGGAAGGAAAUACUGGAGAAGACUUCUAAUCUUAUGAUUCAAAGCAUGAAUCAGUCCCCAGAUUGGAUCUGUGCCUGCAGCAGUAAAAGGGGCAGAUUGUCACAGGGUUGCUGCUUUGUUCUUCUCUGGAGCACCCUGUACAGCUGCUAUCAAAGGCAGAAGAGCAGCAUCAAUGGAACCUGCUCUGCUCAAUGCAAGCUCUGAGUCUGGUGAUUUUCAGCAGCAUGUCAUCUUAAAUAUAUAUGUUUUUUCUUUUCUCUUUCUUUAUUAGUUUCAUGUUCCAGCUGACUUCCUCCAAGAGAGGAACAUGCUUUCCCAUCAGAACUACGUGAAACACCUGAGUUCAUUGGGACUGGAAGAAAACUGUCUCAGAGACAAAGAUACACAGCUUCCCUGGAUUGCUGGCUACAUGCCUGAUCUGAGGACCCAGGAAUCUUUUCCUGAAGUUAAUGUGAAUUCAGGGGGUGCGUGUUUUAAGAACUGAGCUGGGUCCUGUAAAAGAGGACACAUAAGUGGAACUGUAACCAUCCUGUGAACAGUCACUCAUUCUGGGAGAUGAAUAGUUGCUGAAUGGCAAGAGAUCGCAGCCUAAAUCUCCAGAAAAAUGCAUGCAAACCUAUCAGGUUUCUAUUGUCAUCUGCCUGACAUUGUGCUCCAAGUAGGAAAUAGGAAAGGCAAUAGGAAAGCUGCCUGUGUUUGAAAUCCAGAACUUUCUCUGGACAAAUAACACACUUGCUGUUGCAUGGCCAAAUGAGGACACAACAUCCUAUGGCACAGAUUAAGUUGUAGAGCAGGGUUCAUGGAAGAGCCCAUGUGCAGUGAUUUCUGCAUCCUUCUGAGUGCUGAUCAGAUUAAUGAGGACCACAGAAACAUGGAAAACUGUCGUAGUGACACAUCAGUAUCCUGUUAGCUUCAACAGAAUUACAGCAUUUGAUAUCAGCUCUUCCUUCCUUGCUGUUUCUCCACCCCUCCAAAACACCCCCUGAAACACUUGCAGGAGAAAUUGUAAAACACAUGUAACAGCUUAUUUUGUAUGAUGGGACUGUUAGAAGAGCUGCAUGUUGGUGUGCGUCCAACUCACAUUAACUUCAGUUUUGGGCUGCAGCCAUACUCGAGUGACUUUGCAAGUCUUUUCUGACUGUCCAAUAAAGUUGAUGCGUGCAGUAAAUCUGCAGUAUCCAAACAGUAUUUGAUAUCUCCAUUUUGGAUCAGUGGUUGGGUCUGGGAAGUGGAUGAAGCUUGCCUGAAGGCAGCAUCUGCAAGUUGUUUUUUUUCAUCAGAAAAAUGAAUGUCUGGUAUAAUGAAUGAUUUUGUAUAAUAUCAAAGAAAGAGAGUAUCAGCUGUGCACUUCAUACGCAGUAUUGAUUGCAAGUACGCUCAUUAAUUUGUGUGGUACAGGAAAUUCCAGCCAAGGUUAGGAGAGCUUUGCUCUGUAGUGGAGCUGUGACUCCUAUUGCCUUCAAAGAGGUUUGAAUCAGGUUGCAAACAACCAAAAUUCAUACUUCAGUUAUUUCGCUAUAGAAGUGUGUUGUCACAGACGACUUUGUAGACUUCUGGUAGAACAGCAAGGAAAAAUGGAAAUGUCCUGUCCCUGUUUGAGCCUGCUUAAGGGUUUGAUCUGUACAGUUUGGGUGCUCUGGGCAAAUGUAGGAUGCACGGUGGAACUCUGUUCUCAUUGUAGCACAACAAAAGAGAGGAGCUGGGGAGGGGAGGGAGAAGGUAUGUUUUCCACCAUGGCCUGUUUAAAACAUUAUGAGCUACCUCUCUUCCAUCAUGAGUCGUGGUUUAAAGCUACUGCCCAGGGGCAUAAAAAUCAACUCCUAACAACUUCCAGUGGGACCACUAUUCCAUCAGUGCUCCCAUCAAAUGUUGACUCCAUGAUUAAUAUUCACCCUCUUUCUUCGUUAAUCAUCAGUCUUCAUUCAUUUCUUUGUAACUUCUGCUGACAGGGGCACUGUUCAUACAGCAGCUGGUAGGGAAAACAGAACGAGCUGAACUGCUGCACGCAAGCUGUGAAGGGAAAAAGCCACAACAGUGCAUUGUGUCAGCUCAAAAUGAUUCCUACGGAUGCAGCUUUUUCUUUUCUCCUUGCCCUAUAUGCUCAAUUUUCAAUAGACGUUGUGAGGCAGGACCUUCAAACAAUCCGUGGUUACUAUCGCACUGCUUUACCUUGAGUGCCAUUGGCACUUGGUAAUUUAGAGCAGGAACUCUGCUGAUGAAGAGUGAACUGUCAGAAUUUGGCUUGUCAAAUAAAAUCUGUGUACAUCCUAAAAUAGACAGUUUUGCAAUUAACGCUUGCACUGUGAUUUG
Molecule: non-coding RNA, 5348 nt
Organism: Coturnix japonica (Japanese quail)
Lineage: Eukaryota; Metazoa; Chordata; Aves; Galliformes; Phasianidae
Source: RefSeq, a predicted model, not a curated record